Pogonomyrmex barbatus (red harvester ant) is the source of this 465-nucleotide long non-coding RNA. The record is from RefSeq and is a predicted model, not a curated record. NCBI's taxonomy places the organism in Eukaryota, Metazoa, Arthropoda, Insecta, Hymenoptera, Formicidae.
ACUCGAACUCGCAGCAGCGCUCACCCACGCGGAACCUUUUGCAUUUCUGCAGAACAGCGAUAUGAGAUUGGUAACAAGUAUCAAAUAUUACAACUAUGGGCAAUCAUUAGCAUGCAAGCAAAACUCGUCACAUGCGAAUUAUAGUUCAGGCCCUAUUGCCCUACAUGAGACCUAUCGCAGAAAAACGCAUCGCAUUAAGCUUGCUAAAACGAGCGUGCGUAUAUAGAUGUUUAACAAUGUAUGAAACGACUUUAUUGCAUGAAUAUAUACAAUCAAGUGUAUCUACACACCUACACAUAUUUAUAAAGAUAUUUUAUGACACAUACGACACAUACAUUUUAUGAUUCGUCAAUUUUUUAUCUUUUGCGAGUAUGAAACAGUUAAACUAUAUGAUUAAAGACAAAAUACAUGCUCUCUAAAUAAUCAAAGUGAAUUUUAAAGAAAAAUUAAAAAAAGACUCGACGA